UGCCUACGGGUGGCAGCAGCCGCGGUAAUACGGAGGGUGCAAGCGUUAAUCGGAAUUACUGGGCGUAAAGCGCACGCAGGCGGUUGGAUAAGUUAGAUGUGAAAGCCCCGGGCUCAACCUGGGAAUUGCAUUUAAAACUGUCCAGCUAGAGUCUUGUAGAGGGGGGUAGAAUUCCAGGUGUAGCGGUGAAAUGCGUAGAGAUCUGGAGGAAUACCGGUGGCGAAGGCGGCCCCCUGGACAAAGACUGACGCUCAGGUGCGAAAGCGUGGGGAGCAAACAGGAUUAGAUACCCCAGUAGUCCG
This 302-nucleotide ribosomal RNA is filed under the name uncultured Aeromonadaceae bacterium. Its description in RNAcentral is "bacterial SSU rRNA". It matches the Rfam family "Bacterial small subunit ribosomal RNA", at positions 498 to 797 of the family's 1533-position model. Lineage: Bacteria; Pseudomonadati; Pseudomonadota; Gammaproteobacteria; Aeromonadales; Aeromonadaceae. The record is from RNAcentral.